RNAcentral lists this long non-coding RNA (1407 nucleotides) under Rattus norvegicus (Norway rat). RNAcentral's name for it is "long non-coding RNA NONRATT001652". Lineage: Eukaryota; Metazoa; Chordata; Mammalia; Rodentia; Muridae. The record is from RNAcentral.
UGCUGUUAGGGGUCUUUCUAGUUGCCUAAAACUGUGCCUAGAUGAAGGCAGUGGGGAUAGGAGAGGCCACCUGAGGGACCAAGAUGACAAUUUUGAGGUCUGAAAACAAUGUUCUACAAUAAUGGUAUAAUGUUUUUAUAUCACUUUAUGGGUUAUAUAAUAUGUUGACAUGUAUCAUUUAAUCUUUGAAAAACGCUAUGAUUAUAUUAACCCAUGUUUCAGAUAAGUAAGUUGAAAAUUACAAGGUUAAAUUACUUUGCCUAAAGCCAACACAAGUGAGUGGUGGGGCUGAUACUCUAACUUUGACUAUUUUUACCCACUCUUGAGUCUUGUGAGUCAUAAAUGACAAGUAGUCAAGUGCUCUUAGAGAGAACUGUGUACGGGGACCAGGAAAGGGCUGAGAGUGCUGGUGGACACAUGGCAGUCAGUGGGGUUUCAGCCUCAGUUAGGGCAGGGAUGCUGAUUCCCUUUGGUUUUUCAAGUCUCCAUGACUGUUGGUCAGUGAGCUCUGGAGAAUCUCUUCAGCCAAUACUUGAUACUCAGAAUUCUGUCAUGAUAGAGUAGUUACAAGUUUGGUCUUAAAGGACCCUGGAAUCUAUAAUGGGUGUCAAAAAAAAAGACAGCGGAAGUAGAGUGAUGUCAUAUAACAAGAGUAUUAUUGUUUUAUAAAGCUUAGAAUCUGGUAAUGCUCUUGCUUUUAGGGUUUUGUAUAGUGAAAAGAGUCCUCUGAAACCCAACCAUCACUGCCAACCUGAGCUCUGAUGGGCUCAACAGCUGCUUCUUGGGUGAAAGGGGCAGCUGCUUCACCCUCCCCCUCUGGCCUGGCGUUCUUUUAUUUUCCUCCUGAGUGACACUAACCCGAAAUAGAAACAGAAACAACAUAGAAAGGACUCCUGGAGACAAGUCGGACCCAGCGUUUGCCUUUUACUAAAGAAACACAAAGUGUUGUAUGGGUUUCCUCCGUAAGUUCUUGUUUGUUUGUUUGUUUGUUUGUUUGUUUGUUUGAAGCAAGUUUGACUGUUGUAAUCAAGGUUGGCCUUGAACUCUUGAUUCUCCAAGAAUGCUGGAUCCUCUUGACUGUUAGAAUUAUGGGAGAGAGCCAUUGUACUUGACUUAGAAAGUAUUGUAUUUUAUUAGGAUUAAAACAAAAACAGUUCCCCUGUGAGAUGAGGUAUUUAAGACAUCGAGCUCCAGUCACCUUUGUAUAUGCUUGGGGGAGACUCAGGCAGCUGGAGCUCAGACUAAAGGCCAGCCUGGGCCACACAGUGAGAGCAUGUGGCAGCGGGGGAAGGAAAAACCUAUCUCAUUCGGAUAACUUUACUCGCUAUUGUUUAUUAAAAACAAAUGACAUUAUGUGGUAAAAGUAAAAAAGAAAGAAAAACAAAAAUCCAAGUUGCUGGAAAAUGU